This 232-nucleotide long non-coding RNA is filed under the name Brassica rapa (field mustard). Its description in RNAcentral is "long non-coding RNA (BRAP_LNC007191)". The record is from RNAcentral. Lineage: Eukaryota; Viridiplantae; Streptophyta; Magnoliopsida; Brassicales; Brassicaceae.
UAUAGAUGACGAUAAAAAAAAGAAAUUGGAAAACAUAAAUAAUCGGAAACUUUGAUAAAUAAAGUUUCUAUAUUUCAGUUAUAGUUUCCUAUUAUUUAUGGUUACCAUAACAGCCGGCUGCUUCUUUUUUUUUUUUUAACUCUUAUUAGUAACAUUCUAUUAGAAAAGACAGAGCUAUAACUCAAAAAACAGAGUUUCAUGAAGCAAAAACAGAGCAAAACAGAGAACCAGC